Molecule: RNA transcript, 2693 nt
Organism: Nomascus leucogenys (northern white-cheeked gibbon)
Lineage: Eukaryota; Metazoa; Chordata; Mammalia; Primates; Hylobatidae
Gene name: 2-amino-3-ketobutyrate coenzyme A ligase, mitochondrial pseudogene
Exons: 1
Source: RefSeq, a predicted model, not a curated record
UCGGCCUCCCAAAGUGCUGGGAUUACAGGCGUGAGCCACCGCGCCCAGCUGCAAAUGCAACUUUUUAAGGAUCAAUGAAUGAACUUCUUUCAGGUGAAGCGUUUUAGUACCAACUCAGUUUUAAGCUGAUUUUUAACAUUCUCCUUCGCAGGCCUUCCCACCUCCGUCUUUGAGAGGCAAUUUCCCAAGGCAGGACCUUGCCACGUGGCCCACUGUAUGUUUCCUAGCUAGCUGGCUCUAUAGACUCUUCCGUGUACAUAAAUUCAGUCAUUCUUUUCUCAAAACAUAGAGUAAACCUCUGAUUUGAAAGAGACUCAAGCCUUAGAUACACAAAUAUCCUGCAAUCUAGAAGUCAAAUGGGAGUGGAAGCUUUCAUGUCUUAGAGGCUAGAACCUGGAAUAACAGUACCCCCAGCAGACUUACCAUGAAGGGCUCUGUCUGUGUGUGCACAACUUCCCAGGCCUGAUAUGUGUGCAGCAAGGAUGUCCUCAAGUGGCUCUCGUGCACGUUGCCCUCCACCCAUGGUCCCCACAGCCGGACCAGCUCCACACACAGGGAAGGAUGGAAAGGACACCCAGAGCCAACCUGGCCCUGGGACCUCCCCUCCUGGCUUUCACGGCUCCUCAGAUUGGGUCAGUCACACGGAAAGGAUUUUCUGGAAGGAGCGCACCAGAAUUUCUGUUCUGGAAAGACGGUGGAAGGCAGAGCUGAGUUCAUUGCUUAUGGAGGGGAGAGAAUAGCCCCUGCACAGAGCCUCCAGCGCGGCUGCCAGGGGAAGUGGAGAGGCUAGGAUCUCACUGAGAAUUUCAAGAUUGGUUUAAGGAGGGCCUUUCAAUGCAGGGGCUUGCUUGGGAUUGGGGGAGAUCAUGAUAUAGUAGUUUCAGGUUGGUGGAAACAGCUAGGCGAGGGGUUUGAAAUGUCUCAGGUGUGAAAUGUCUGUUGAUGCUUCUAUUAAAUAAAGCUCGCCUAUUAAAGAGUUGAUGGGCCUCUUGGGAAAUUCCUGUAAUAAACAAUGAAGUUAUUUGCCUGGGCAAGAGUCUCUUGGAAUAGUAAAGUUAUUGUACCAAAGACAACGGGAGAAAAAAUGUCAUGUUAAUGCAGACAAUAAACUUGGGGGUGGAAGGGGAUAGUUUCUGCCUCAAUCUGACUAGUCAUUAGGCCUAAAGACCUGAGGGCUAGGACACAUGUCAAGUAUCUUUCAAUACAUUUAAAAAGUUAAAAAUUCGGAGGUAGGAGCGAUGUGGGCUGGGAACGCCUGGCGCGCCGCACUCUUCUGGGGGCCCCGCCGCCGCCGCGCACAGUCAGCGCUGGCCCAGCUGCGUGGCAUUCUGGAGGGGGAGCUGGAAGGCAUCCGCGGAGCUGGCACUUGGAAGAGCGAGCGGGUCAUCACGUCCCGUCAGGGGCCGCACAUCCGCGUGAACGGCGUCUCCGGAGGAAUCCUUAACUUCUGUGCCAACAAUUACCUGGGACUGAGCAGCCACCCUGAGGUGAUCCAGGCAGGUCUGCAGGCUCUGGAGGAGUUUGGAGCUGGCCUCAGCUCUGUCCGCUUUAUCUGUGGAACCCAGAGCAUCCACAAGGAUGUAGAAGCAAAAAUAGCCCGCUUCCACCAGCGGGAGGAUGCCAUCUUCUAUCCCAGCUGUUUUGACGCCAAGGCCGGCCUCUUUGAGGCCCCGCUGACCCUGGAGGACGCAGUCCUGUCGGACGAGCUGAACCAUGCCUCCAUCAUCGACGGCAUCCGCCUGUGCAAGGCCCACAAGUACUGCUAUCGCCACCUGGACAUGGCCGACCUAGAAGCCAAGCUGCAGGAGGCCCAGAAGCAUCGGCUGCACCUGGUGGCCACUGACGGGGCCUUUUCCAUGGAUGGCGACAUCGCACGCCUGCAGGAGAUCUGCCGCCUCGCCUCUAGAUAUGGCGCCCUGGUCUUUGCGGAUGAAUGCCAUGCCACUGGCUUCCUGGGGCCCACAGGACGGGGCACAGAUGAGCCGCUGGGUGUGAUUGACCAGGUCACCAUCAUCAACUCCACCCUGGGGAAGGCUCUGGGUAGAGCAUCGGGGGGGCUACACGACAGGGCCUCGGCCCCUGGUGUCCUUGCUGCGGCAGCGCGCCCGGCCCUACCUCUUCUCCAAUAGUCUGCCACCUGCUGUUGUUGGCUACGCCUCCAAGGCCCUAGAUCUGCUCAUGGAGAGUAACACCAUUGUCCAGUCUAUGGCUGCCAAGAUCCAGAGGUUCCGUAGUAAGAUGGAAGCUGCUGGCUUCACUAUCUCGGGAGCCAGUCACCCAAUCUGCCCUGUGAUCCUGGGUGAUGCCCGGCUGGCCUCUCACAUGGCGGAUGACAUGCUGGAGAGAGGCAUCUUUGUCAUCGGGUUCAGCUACCCCGUGGUCCCCGAGGGCAAGGCCCGGAUCCGGGUACAGAUCUCAGCAGUGCACAGCGAGGAAGACAUUGACCGCUGCGUGGAGGCCUUCGUGCAAGUGGGGCGACUGCAUGGGGCACUGCCCUGAGCUCUGGGUAAGGACGAGAAGAGCCAAGGUCCACCUACUGCCACAGGGUCAACGGAGGUUUUUGAUCAGCCCAGACCACAGGCUCUGAGCCCUGAACCAAAGUCCCAGAGCUGGGCUGGGAUGUGGCCUGUGCUGAGGGCUGUGAGAAUGUGAAACAACAGUGUGAAAAUUGGCUGUGGCAAAAAAAAAAAAAA